Molecule: long non-coding RNA, 3918 nt
Organism: Oncorhynchus kisutch (coho salmon)
Lineage: Eukaryota; Metazoa; Chordata; Actinopteri; Salmoniformes; Salmonidae
Exons: 10
Source: RefSeq, a predicted model, not a curated record
UGAAUUCUAACACUGUAUCGCUUGUCACACUAAAUGUAAUUCCCUUUUAUCUGUGUGUGUGUGUGUGUGUGUGCGUGCGUGCGUGUGUUUGUGUGUGUGUGUGUGUGCACACGGUGCGAGGGACAGGUAUGUAGACAGGCAGUAGCUGCCCCUGGAGAUGGAUGGAGACUAUAAACACUGCCGCUCUAACUGGCUUUCAGACUGGAGAGGGAGGGAGGGAAAGCUGGAUGGAGGGAGGGGCAGGGAAACAGAGACUGAUGAGAGAGAGAGAGAGAGAGAGAGUCUCUUCCUAGCAUGUUUCUAGUACUCAGAAUAUCAAGUUUAGCUCUUUGAAUGCUAAGACUUACAGUCAUAAAGCCUAUUCUUUCUCAAAUCAAUUCAGAUUCCAUAUGCAGCUCAAUCAAUAUGCCACUAUUGGCAUUUGGUCUUGGUCUCGGUCUUGAGACACUUAUCUCAAAUUGAUUUACAGUCACACACGCACACAGCACAGCGUACACACACACACACACACAACAUUGUAUGUUACUCGAGUCAUGUGACUUGAAUGAAAAAGACAGCCUGAUAUCGCACACAUUAUUUCCUUAGAUAUGAAAUCAGCCGUAUCAAUGUUUUCACCAUCAAGCCUUUUUAUGUCAUGUGAAGUAUGAACUAUUAUAGGUUGUGUCCCUGGUCAAAAGUAGUGCUCUGGUCAAUAACAGUUCACUGCAGGGAAUAGGGUGCCAUUUGAACUGUAGACUAACUGUACUAAGUUACUCCAGUCCUGUUUUUGCUUUUAGAGUGUUGAGUCUGACUGAGUGUUUUGAGAGCGCCCUCUCUCUGUUGGAGGGUGAACUGCAGUCUAUGGACACAGCACCACUACCAGACUGUAUCAAGACUGUUCCCCUCAGUGUGGAUAAACACAGAGAGCUGAUGACGAGCGUCCUCGUCGACCAACGGCUGACUGAGCUACAGCUGAAGGGCGGGGCCUGGCUGGCAAGGCUGACCACAUCAGGACUUGCACAGCGAUCCCCAGACUGCAGGGCUGCGACCUCUAACCUCUAUGAUAGUGUGGACAAUGCCCUCCACCGCCUCGUACAUGUGUCCAAUCACAGAGGCAGCGACCUGGAAGUCCUCGGUCGAUUGGCUGCCAUGGCGGACAAACUGGAAAAGCAAGCUCUAUCUAUUAUGGUGUAGGAUGCUGAGUUCAGGGAGGCAGUACGUGGCCAUGUUAACGGGUGUGGAGGAGACCUACCUGCCCCUCUUGGAAGGUCCAGACACCCCGUCCCCCCUCCGGAGGGAAGCAGACCUCCUUUUCCACAACUUGGCCAGCUUCAGCGCCUUCCUCUCGCAGUACCUCCUCCCAGUCAUGGAGGGAGCUUUACUGCAGAGUCUGCUGAAACAGGACCUCUUCAGUAAACGUAGAGAGGUGUUUCUCCAGUACCCUCACUGCAUAUAGUAAGGACCAAACCAGAAGUGGACUCCUUGUUGGUCACUUAGGCUGCAGACUUCUUUAAGCUCAGACUCCUUGCCACCCCUCCUCUCUCCCUCCUGUCCUUCCCCCACUGUCUCCAGUCCCCUACACAAACUGGAACAGUACUGUGAUGUUCUGGAGGAGCUGGGAGGGCUAAACCACGCCUAUGACUCCUUCCUCUCCGUCCUUAGACACGCCCAGCGCCACGGUGAGGACCUCCGGGCCAGCGACCUCAUCGUCGGGUGUCCGGUCCCGGUGGAGGAGCGUGGAGAGCUGGUGAGUCAGGUGUGUGGGAGGACCAGGAGGAAGAAGACCGGGGUGUGUUCCUCUAUCAACCCCUCAUCGUCUUCACCAAGCAGAAGAGCCUGGGACACACCGCCUACAGCUUCAAACACAGCACCAAGUGUCAGAGUGGAGAGGAGAGGGCAGCCUGGACACACGAUAUCACUCAGCUCCUUUGGACCCACACCAUACACAACACAGGUACGACCUCUAAACCCUGGCUUUACCCUCUCAGUCACACUGUUGUCAUGACUGGCCUGCUCGUGUCAGGUUACCGUGGACCACAAUCCUACAGAGAGAUCUCUGACACUCAUCAAAGGGAAAGAGAUCGAGAGCCAUUGAGGUGGGGGGUUUUAUGACACCUCACGCCCAUUGUAAAUCUUAAGGCAGCAGGCAAAAUUCCUUUGUCCUCUCACUAUGGAGAACCGGCCUCAGAACAUUAACAUGCAAUUAAUGGACUUUGGGACAAUAGGUUUCGUCAGCCACAUUGGUGGUAAUGACGAUAGAUGGAAUACGAAAAUGAAUGUCGUUUUGUUAUAUUAUUAAAAGUUAAAGGACGACGUUAUAAUGAAAACUUUGUAACUAAGAGUUUUCCUAAUAUGUGCCUGAUGUUUGCAUAUUGUACAUUUGUGUGGAAAAUGUUCAGAAAAAAGAUAAUGUUUUUGUAAAGAUGAAAUGUGAAGUUAGUUGUCUAAAUUGGAGCUGAGUAAAAUCCAGACCUUGCCUCAUAACUUGGUACGCCCAGAGAAUUGCCCUGAAGGCGGAAACGCCCAUUUCUGACCCGAGGGAGUUAAGAAUGAACAUAUUAGACUAAGUGAUCCUGAGCUGCAGCCAAGGUCUGAGUGGUGAGCAAACCCAAAACGCAACACGAGGUUGAGGAGGACAAAAUAACCUUUUUACAACCUAUUCUACGGACAAGUAGCCGUAUCUAACGGGGGUGAAUUCAAGCAGGACGACCCGGUCACCACUCUCCAAGGAAUCAUGUGUCUACACUGUUUUCCUUCCCACGCUGGAACCAUCCCCACGGCUGAUUAGCCCUCCUCCGAAGACCCCUUUUUCAGAGCAAGUGCGAGGAAACAGACCACUAAAAGAAAGGACACUGACAUCGUGAGGAGAAACAGAGAGUUACACCCGGUAACCGAAGAUGGACCAUCAUCAGAUAAGUCGGAACCACGGUCCAUGCAGAGACCCCCCCCAUCAGAGACCUUCAACACGUAAUUACAUUGUUAUAUUCUGACCCAUAAGAGCGGUAGUUUGGGGCAAGGUUGGGGUUGAAAUAAUCGUAACUGACAAAUGCACCCAAUUGUGUUUUUCUUUCGCGUACUCUAUCUCUCUCUCUUUUGAAAUCGCCAUUGUGUGUAACACGUGUCAUAUGGUGUUGGCCCGCUAGGGACCUGUUCAUCGUACUAAGUUCUAAUCAAUAGCCUAGACUGUGUGCUUGUGUAUGUGUAUCCAUAGCACAGGUAUGACACCUGAACAGUCACCUGUCCCUUCUCUACCCUCAUUCACAACAUUCUAAUCUAACCUUUCUCAUUCUAACCUGUCACGUGGUCAUGUGACCAAUCUUACUCCAACCAUCUACUACACAGGUGUGCAUUCUUAUAGAUGCACCCACUGUAUGUAUAAGCCUCUCUCUCUCUCUCUCAUGUCUGAUAGAGACAAUGUGUAUUGGUCUGUCCAGUAAGAUACUGCUAGAUGUCACAGGAGCACCAGACACAUCUGAAAUGGCCUCUAUCUACAGUCUGAAUGACAGAGUUCACAGUAGCUGUUCAGACUCCUCCUCUGUUGGCAGUCAGAAGGAGGGGGAAUCCCCAGCAUCUGGGAGGGGACACACACAGAAACUGGAUUCCGGACUCCAAAACAACUUACGUUUGACAUUUACAUAAGGGUGAAACUGAACAUAAAGCAAACAAAGAGACAUUACGGCUCUAACUAACCCAGGAUCUAGCAUCAACAGAGUCUGCUGUGGGUGGCCAUGUUGGAUCGGCCGGACACAGUUGCUCGCAGAGUCAUUGAUACCGUGGACACUCCAGCCACACAGAAGGAGCAUUGUCCUCCCUCUGCGGCUCCCCGCUAGGCCAAACCACUCUGUCUGAACCACUGACUGGCAGCCAUGGCCUAGUGUGUGUGUGUGUGUGUGUGUAUGCGUGUGUGUGUAUGCGUGUGUGUGUGUGUAUCCGUGUGUA